Molecule: long non-coding RNA, 1171 nt
Filed under: Cyanistes caeruleus (blue tit)
Lineage: Eukaryota; Metazoa; Chordata; Aves; Passeriformes; Paridae
Description: lncRNA (ENSCCEG00000021162.1)
Source: RNAcentral
AUGGGAGCCAGGCCCUGGCAAAUCCCCAUGUCCAUAUGCCACGUGCUGGCUGCCUUCCAGGAUGAGAGCCCAGCCUGUGCCUGUUCCUCGUCCCAGACCCACAGACUGUCAGUGCUGAGGACCGACAGGACCUGCCCCUCCUGCUCGUGCACUCCCUGCUUCUCCCGGCUCCCGUGGCUCCCCCCGUGGGCUGUCCCCCGCUUCUCCCCGCGCUGGCUGGGCCAUGGAUGCGCUCCUGGUGUGCCAUGGAUGCUGUCCUGGUGUGCUGCAAUCUGGGGAGCAGCACAGACACCCCAAAGUGUCUGCCAUGUCUGGAAGCCUCUCUUCUGCCUGGUUCAUGUUGCCAAUCUGCCACAGGGCUGCACGGACUCGCCUGAGCCCUGAGCAUCAGGGAUGCUGCUGCCCACGGGACUGAAAGCCAAGGAAGAUUCAGGCUCAUGAAAACCCUCCCUGCAGGGAGGCCGGGCAAGGAGCUGCCCCCAAGGGGGAUGGGGCAGGGCUGGUGCUGGGUGGGACGAAGGGGGCCCAGCACAAGCUGAGGAGGGCAGUGGCUGCCCAGGGCUGGCAGGCAAGGUGCUGAUUUUGGUGCUGUCAGGUGCCCUGUUCAGGGGGGCUGUGCCUGGGACCGCCCCUCACGGCUCACAGGGACCGUGCCCAGCACCCACGGGAGAGGGGACCCUCCUUGGGUGCCUGGGGAUACAACGGGAGCCCCCCAGCCCCGGGACGUGCCCACCCUUUCCCUUGGGUACAGAGGAGAUGCUCUCCCCUCCUGCCCCCUGGCAGGGGUCACUCAAGGAGGCUCUUCACUCUUCCCAUUUCUCCCCCGUAGGGUAGGAUCUCUUUGUCUCCUCAUGCCACGUUUGCCUUGUGUGGCCCUUAUUUCUGAUGUGAUAUUUAUUGAUGGCUGGAAUGACCUUAUACUUAUCAUGUGCUGUCUGGAAGUGCAAUAUCUGAGAGACUCUACAGUCACAACGUCUUUUCGGUGUAUCAUUUGCCUAAUACAGUAUUAAAUAUUUUUUUAAUUUGAAGAGUCAGUGAGCCCUUUAUAUUGAUGCCCUAUUUCUUUCAUCAUAUUAUUGGUACUGCAUGGACUCCAAACCCUGGAUCGGGUCAGGAAAGGAUGUAUGUGUGUUCCAAUAAACAGGAUUUUAAAACACUGCUGGCUUUGAGC